AGCCGCGGUAACACCAGCUCCACUAGCGUAUACUAAAGUUGUUGCUGUUAAAACGCUCGUAGUUGGAUAUCGGCGGUGGUAGCAUGACCCUGCAAACGCAGUGCGUCAGAGAUCAGCCGCCCUUUACAGGCCGGCUGAACGCGCGACCAUCGCCCUGGCAGGAACGCGUUCUCACUUCGCGGUGAGGACGACAACCUGCGGCUCACUUUGAGAAAAUUAGAGUGCUCAAAGCAGGCAAUCGCCUGGAUGCAUUAGCAUGGAAUGAACGAACCGACUUUGGCGCUGGAAACAGCGGUUUGUUGGUUUAUGCCAAAGUAAUGAUUGAUAGGAACAACUGGGGUGCUAGUACCGCCGGGCCAGAGGUAAAAUUCUAUGACCCCGGUGAGACUGACUUAGGCGAAAGCAUUCACCAAGUGUGUUUUCUUUAAUCAAGAACUAAAGUUGGGGGAUCGAAGACGAUCAGAUACCGUCGUAGUCCCCAACCAUAAACGAUGUCGACUAAGCGUCGGGUGGGCGAAGG
Molecule: ribosomal RNA, 520 nt
Filed under: uncultured eukaryote
Lineage: Eukaryota
Description: bacterial SSU rRNA
Rfam family: Eukaryotic small subunit ribosomal RNA
Source: RNAcentral